UGGGGAAUUUUGGACAAUGGGGGAAACCCUGAUCCAGCCAUCCCGCGUGUGCGAUGAAGGCCUUCGGGUUGUAAAGCACUUUUGGCAGGAAAGAAACGUCAUGGGUUAAUACCCCGUGAAACUGACGGUACCUGCAGAAUAAGCACCGGCUAACUACGUGCCAGCAGCCGCGGUAAUACGUAGGGUGCAAGCGUUAAUCGGAAUUACUGGGCGUAAAGCGUGCGCAGGCGGUUCGGAAAGAAAGAUGUGAAAUCCCAGAGCUCAACUUUGGAACUGCAUUUUUAUCUACCGGGCUAGAGUGUGUCAGAGGGUGGUAGAAUUCCGCGUGUAGCAGUGAAAUGCGUAGAUAUGCGGAGGAACACCGAUGGCGAAGGCAGCCUCCUGGGAUAACACUGGCGCUCAUGCACGAAAGCGUAGGGAGCAAACAGG
Molecule: ribosomal RNA, 429 nt
Filed under: Acidobacteriota bacterium
Lineage: Bacteria; Pseudomonadati; Acidobacteriota
Description: Acidobacteria bacterium partial 16S ribosomal RNA
Rfam family: Bacterial small subunit ribosomal RNA
Source: RNAcentral